UGUUCGGAGUCCCGGAAAUACUUAUAUCCGACAACGGUGUCCAAUUUAAAUCAAAGGAAUUUGAGAAAUUCUUAAGCAACUACCAUGUCACGCAUUGGAAAAAUGCUAAUUACCAUCCGGCAAAUAACCCAACGGAAAGGGUUAACCGAGUGAUUGGAGCAGCGAUUAGGACAUACGUGAAAGAUGACCAUAAGGAAUGGGAUCGGGAUAUCCAAAAGGUGGCCAUGGCUAUAAGAACCUCAGUCCACGAAUCAACUUCUUUCACGCCAUAUUUUGUAAAUUAUGGGAGGAAUUUUAUUAGCUCAGGUGCAGAAUAUAAACGCAUCAGGGAAACUAACGAAGAUGCUGGCUAUGAUCCAUUAGAACUCAAUGAAAACCUGAAAUCAAUCUUUGAGGCGGUUAAAAUCAAUUUGAAGAAGGCCUAUGACCGUUAUGCAAAGCACUAUAAUCUACGGUCUAGCAAAACCAUCCCAAGCUACGAAAUAGGGGAAAUAGUGCUUAAAAAGAACUUCUUUCUGUCGAGCAAGAGCAAACAGUUUUCCGCGAAAUUAGCGAAUCCAUUUUCAUUGGCAAAGGUUGUAGGCAAAAUAGGGUCAGCUUGUUAUGACCUAGAAGAUGUGCAAGGCAACCGUUUAGGAGUUUUUCAUGCCUCACAUCUCCAGAAAAAAUAAUCAACUUCCUUUUAAAGCUAUGUCUGAGGCCAAGUGCACAGUUACUAUGAGAUUUCGUUCCAAUAAAACACAAACUUACGGUUUGGUUACUCCGAGCAGAGCGGGAGGGGCUGGCUUCAAAAACGAUUCCUUACUACAAGCAGUUCCCUCGUCGCCUCUCGAUGAUCCAUUCUCAGGGCUGUUUGAAACCUAAAAGAAAAACAAGCGUUAGUCCUGAGAAUGUAGAUACAGCUAUGUAUAGGAUGGAGUACAAGUAUAGUUUGUCGCCCUAGAAUCAUCAGCCAGCUUACCCACCCAAGCCCGGAGUUCACCGAGGUGAACUGUGAAGGGAGAGUACUAUGGAAGGAAGUGCGAGUCUGCAGGGCAAGAUGAUGACCAGGCUGAGAUUCGAACUCAAAAUAUACUUGUACACACCAUAACACAACGUUGAAGAACACCAAAACACUACGAACAGGGUCAAUGUUCACAAUAUUAAGCUAUGUAGGUACACAAAGAAAAGAAAACACUGUGAGUUUGCCGCAGGAUAAUUCAAGUAAACACUGUACAUAUCGGUUGUAAAUAGCCUAGAAGUAGCACUUUAUACUCGUUAACUUUAGACCGUUCAAUAGCCGCAUCAGAAAACACAAUAUUUACAAUAGUUCAAUGAGUUUUGGGUCCACUAAACACAGCAUUGAAACAGUUUUGGUAUCAGUUUUGGCACACUUACAACAUCACAGUUGGCAGCAUUCAGGAUUUCCGUAGCCGUUUAUAUCACACAAGCAAUAGUUUCUGUUUUUUCUUCAAAUUUUGGCACUUUUUAAUAGUAGAUUCACUUUUGUUCGCUUUCACUUUCAUUUCACCACUUUCAGAGAAAAUCAAACCAAAACAAAUCCGAUAAUUCAGAGAAACGUCAAACGCAAUUUAUCGUUUGUAGUCGUCGGCCAGUUACAGUAGAGGCUGUCGAAGUAGGGAUACCAUGAAAGUUAAGGUCAUUUAGAGCGCGAUUGCGUUCGAAUAAAAUGUUAUGAUUUUAAAUGAGAAUUUCAAUAGAAUUUUGUUCGGAUAAAUCUGAAAGUACAUAAAAUGUUUCAGUUUGGAUUAGAGGAUUUUGUCGAGAAUGUUCUUGACGGCUCCCUGGUGGAGAUAUGUUGGUCGUGGAAGCGGCCAGAUUUAUGUUCUAGAAUACUAGGACGGGUCUUAUGAGACUUUGGGUUAUAGAGGUGUAAUUUUGGCAACCGUAGUGGUAUCCCGGAAUUAGAUUUUGUAGUUCAUUUUUUUCUUAUUGGUUCCUACAGUUAAAAUUUAAAAAAAUAUAUAAGUAAUUAGAUGAUACGUAGAAUUAGAUGAGUUCAUUUGUUUUUCUUCUUUAUAUAAUUUAAGUACUAUUUCGGUCAGUUGAGUUAAACCAAAUCAACUAACAUUAAUAGAAGCAUUAAAGAAAAACUGUUUUAUUUUUUAACAUAAAAAAAAUAAAUUCAGAAAUCUUCAUUUAUUUUUUUUAACCGUUGGUAGGGGGUAAUGUAACAAGGUUACAGUAAUUCAUAAAAAACUUAAAUUUAAAUUUGACUUUGCAAUCCCAUCACCCGAAAAACAAAAACAAAUACAAAUAACAAAAAUUGAAAUAAAAGCUAAAAAAAUAUUUGACCUUAAAAAGUAUUUGAAAUAGAGCCUUUACUGUCAGAAGCGAAGUUGGCGUUCCGUGUCUCUGACUUAACGAACGUACCUAGAGAAUCCGAUAAAUGAGUUCGGUCUUUAAAAAUUAGCUCACUUUCAAAUUAGGCCCCGAAAAUAGCCGAAUGAAAAGAAUCGGGUCGCGCGUAGGUUUGUUAUAACCAAAAUCUGGGUUGAAGAUUCUCUUUCAUUCCGACUGUCGACAGUUACAGAAGUCUAGUGGCAAACCGUGAUAGAAGAAAAAUUAUAGAGUGUGAGAAGGGAGUCAAAAGUUUUAAAAGUAGAAGUAAUAGAGAGUGAAUUAAGAAAAUAACUCUGUAAUUAAUUAUGGUACUUUGUAUAAGAAUUGCAGGUUUCCUUUUAUACCAAAAGUAUAUUAAAAAAGUGCUAUUACAAAACCACGUGUGCCUAGUAAGGCAGAGGCCGUUAACGCUGCAACCCUCGUGUGCAAGCGAGAAUCUGUAAUAGAAACGAAUUUUUCGAACCAACCGAUCAAAAUCAUACAGGUAAAUGAAAAAAAGUGAUUGUGUUUCUGACAAAUUAAGUAAUUUGAAAAUCGUUUGAAGAUCCCUUCAAACGAGGGUGCACCCCUAGGGCCCGGACGGCGUGACAUCACAGAACUGAUCGUUUGCGUCAUUCUGUUGGACCGAUAAGGCUGUGACGAAGCAUACAUCGUGCAGCAUAAAUAGUGACGUCACUCGCUGGUGUGUCAGUUCAACUCACCACGCGGUCUGUCCAAGCCACCAACCGCAAGCGUUUCCACGGGCAACCGAUAGAGGGCGACUCGUCACCAUCCAACCCGAUCGGUCGCAUGCAAGCCCGGCGGUUUAUUGCAUGGAAGAUUGAACGCCUCGACACCACUCGCGUAUACGCCACGUGACCGGUCAAAGGCGUAAGUUUGACCACGUUGAUGACCAGUAAGUGCACUUACCAUCCUCCGCUGGACUCCGUGGGACCACGCCAUCGUUCCUGGUAGCUGUAAACCAAGUAAGGUCGACCUAAUUUUGUAAAUACCAACCCCCCUAUACCAAUGUACAUAUUAUAAGCAAGCGCUAAGACAAAGAUCGUAAAUUGCCAUUUUAGUUCCACAAGUUAUUGGGGAAAUAAACGAAGAGCUCUGCAAACGCAUUUUUUAAGCAAUUCUUAGUUGUUGCAGUUUUAGUGUCUGAGAAGUUUCAACACAGUUCGUUUUUUUUUUCUCGUUGGAUUAGAAUAGGCUCUGGAAAGGGA
Molecule: long non-coding RNA, 3551 nt
Organism: Aedes albopictus (Asian tiger mosquito)
Lineage: Eukaryota; Metazoa; Arthropoda; Insecta; Diptera; Culicidae
Exons: 2
Source: RefSeq, a predicted model, not a curated record